Molecule: unclassified non-coding RNA, 1209 nt
Filed under: Hevea brasiliensis (rubber tree)
Lineage: Eukaryota; Viridiplantae; Streptophyta; Magnoliopsida; Malpighiales; Euphorbiaceae
Source: RNAcentral
UUGAGAAAGAACGAGGCUGCGGAGCAUCUGAGAGUACAUUGAAAAGUCAGGGAAAAAAAAAAUGGCGUGGAGAGGCCAACUUUCUCGGAAUCUUAAGGAGCUUCGGAUUCUUUUGUGCCAAUCUUCGCCUUCAAGUUCAUCGGCUAGAGCAUUCGUCGAGAAAAAUUACAAGGAUCUCAAGACUCUGAACCCUAAACUCCCGAUCCUGAUCCGUGAGGCUAGUGGAAUCGAGCCUCAGUUAUGGGCUAGAUAUGGUAUGUGAAGCUCCACACUAUGCUUGCUUCUUUCAUUGUUUGCUUUCCAUUCACCAUUAUGAUUAUUACCUCAAAUAACUAAUAAAUUGUCACCUCCCUUUGGAAUCUCUUAUUGCAUUUUCUUCCAUUUGAUUAUUAAGGUAGCUCUCUUCCUGCCAACGCAUGUAAAAUCGAAUUUCUCGUUUUGUUUUGGGUUUUUAGCUGCCAAUUUAUCUAACAUUCCUUUGCCAUAAUGCGUUGAUGCUACGUGGGGAAGACAUUUAGAAGAAGUGAAUUUGGGUUUGGGUUCUGUACAAAUUUGUUUUUACAGUCAAGAGCAUAGAGGAGCAACGUAAUUUCCAAUUCAUGGAUGCAAGCUUAUCAAAGUUUGUGUGUGUGAGAGUGCUAGAGAGAGCACUUAGUUAGAAAGUUUAAACACAAUUUGGUGUACUAAGUUAAAGGGUUUGUGAGUGAUUGUGUGAUUAGAGAUUGUUUUCUUUUAAUAGUGGAUUGAUUUGUGGAGUAAGCAAAUUGCCAAACCACUUAAACUUAGUGUUCUAAUUAUUUAAUUGCGAGUAUAUUUUAACUGCAAGACCUUUUAUAAUCGAAUUGGGUGGAGUCAGGUGCACGCCAAAAUGCCUGCCUCAUCGCCUUCCCUAUGUCUACCUCAUGGUUUUAAAUAAUGGUUGUUAUGUACCGUAAUGGCUGAUAUUUAUAGGUUUUUUGGCCUAUCAUUACUGUGACACCUGUUAUUAAAGGGAAAAAAAAAUGCUAUAAUGGCCAUAAUGGCCUUUACAUACGGACAAUGGCCGUUAUUUACUGUUAAGCAACAGUAACGUUACAAGCAACAGUAACAUUACGCCACUUUUUUGGUCCAGAUGGGGCAACAACUAUUUCUCAUGCUUUGUUUCUAGUUUGGGGAGUAUUAAGCUGUUGCAUUUCACUUUCUUUGUCAACUUUCCAUAUAAAAUUUUCU